This 500-nucleotide ribosomal RNA is filed under the name uncultured bacterium. RNAcentral's name for it is "partial 16S ribosomal RNA". It matches the Rfam family "Bacterial small subunit ribosomal RNA", at positions 30 to 523 of the family's 1533-position model. The record is from RNAcentral.
AUUGAUCGCUGGCGGCAUGCUUUACACAUGCAAGUCGAACGGUAACAGGGAGCUUGCUCCGCUGACGAGUGGCGAACGGGUGAGUAAUAUAUCGGAACGUACCCAAGAGUGGGGGAUAACGUAGCGAAAGUUACGCUAAUACCGCAUACGAUCUAUGGAUGAGAGCAGGGGACCUUCGGGCCUUGUGCUCCUGGAGCGGCCGAUAUCUGAUUAGCUAGUUGGUGAGGUAAAGGCUCACCAAGGCGACGAUCAGUAGCUGGUCUGAGAGGACGACCAGCCACACUGGAACUGAGACACGGUCCAGACUCCUACGGGAGGCAGCAGUGGGGAAUUUUGGACAAUGGGCGCAAGCCUGAUCCAGCAAUGCCGCGUGAGUGAAGAAGGCCUUCGGGUUGUAAAGCUCUUUUGUCAGGGAAGAAACGGCUGUGGCUAAUAUCCACGGCUAAUGACGGUACCUGAAGAAUAAGCACCGGCUAACUACGUGCCAGCAGCCGCCGUAA